AGAACGAACGCUGGCGGCAUGCCUAACACAUGCAAGUCGAACGCUCCUGGGGCUUCGGUCUCAGGGGAGUGGCGCACGGGUGAGUAGCGCGUGGGAACCUGCCCUGUUGUGGGGGAUAACCGAGGGAAACUUCGGCUAAUACCGCAUAAGCCGGGAAACCGGGAAAGAUUUAUCGCGACAGGAGGGGCCCGCGUCGGAUUAGCUAGUUGGUGGGGUAACGGCCCACCAAGGCAGUGAUCCGUAGCUGGUCUGAGAGGAUGAUCAGCCACACUGGGACUGAGACACGGCCCAGACUCCUACGGGAGGCAGCAGUGGGGAUAUUGGACAAUGGGCGCAAGCCUGAUCCAGCAAUGCCGCGUGAGUGAUGAAGGCCUUAGGGUUGUAAAGCUCUUUCGCCCGCGACGAUGAUGACGGUAGCGGGAGAAGAAGCCCCGGCUAACUUCGUGCCAGCAGCCGC
RNAcentral lists this ribosomal RNA (457 nucleotides) under uncultured bacterium. Its description in RNAcentral is "SSU rRNA". It matches the Rfam family "Bacterial small subunit ribosomal RNA", at positions 26 to 518 of the family's 1533-position model. The record is from RNAcentral.